AUGGCGCGGCGCGGGCGUGUGGAGCUGCGGCGGAUCGAGGACCGGACGAGCCGGCAGGUGCGAUUCUCCAAGCGCCGCGCGGGGCUCUUCAAGAAGGCGUUCGAGCUCGUGGUCCUCUGCGACGCCGAGGUCGCGCUGCUCGUCUUCUCCCCCGCCGGGAAGCUCUACGAGUACGCCUCCUCCAGCAUCGAAGGUACAUAUGAUCGCUAUCAGAGAUUUGCAGGAGCUGGAACGAACGUGAAUGGAGGCGAUGCAAGUAGCAACAAUGAUGGUGAUCCUUCAAACAUACAGUCAACGCUUAAAGAGAUCGCUUCCUGGUCUAUUCAAAACAAUGCUGAUGUCUCAGAUGCUAAUAAGCUAGAGAAACUGGAGAAACUCCUGACAGAUGCUUUGAGGAAUACAAAAUCCAAGAAGAUGUUGGUGCAACAAAAUAGCGGCGCAAGCACGAGGGGUGGUGAGAACUCCAACGGUCCUAGGGGACAGAAGAAGCGAGGAAGGACCUGA
RNAcentral lists this ribosomal RNA (504 nucleotides) under Triticum aestivum (bread wheat). Its description in RNAcentral is "partial small subunit ribosomal RNA". The record is from RNAcentral. Lineage: Eukaryota; Viridiplantae; Streptophyta; Magnoliopsida; Poales; Poaceae.